UUCCGGUUGAUCCUGCCGGAGAUCACUGCUAUUGGAAUUCGGCUAAGGCAUGCGAGUCGAGAGGGUUCGGCCCUCGGCAGACGGCUCAGUAACACGUGGAUAAUCUGCCCUUAGGUGGGGAAUAAUCUCGAGAAAUUGAGCAUAAUGCCCCAUAGCUUUAGAAUGCUGGAAUGCUUUUAAGGCCAAAGCCCCGGCGCCUAAGGAUGAGUCUGCGGCCUAUCAGGUUGUAGUGAGUGUAACGGACUCACUAGCCGACGACGGUUACGGGUCCUGGAAGGGAGUGCCCGGAGAUGGACUCUGAGACACGAGUCCAGGCCCUACGGGGCGCAGCAGCUACGAAAACUUCACAAUGCGGGAAACCGCGAUGAGGGAAUUCCGAGUGCUUAUACUUUGUAUAAGCUGUUUACUUGCCUAAAAAGCAGGUAGAGUAAGGGCUGGGUAAGACUGGUGCCAGCCGCCGCGGUAAUACCAGCAGCUCAAGUGGUGAUCGUUUUUAUUGGGCCUAAAGCGUCCGUAGCCUGUUUGGUAAACCCUUGGGUAAAUCGGGCAGCUUAACUGUCCGAAUUCUGAGGAGACUGCCAGACUUGGGACCGGGAGAGGUCAGAGGUACUCUUAGGGUAGGGGUGAAAUCCUGUAAUCCUAAGAGGACCACCAGUGGCGAAGGCGUCUGACUAGAACGGGUCUGACGGUAAGGGACGAAGCCCUGGGUCACGAACCGGAUUAGAUACCCGGGUAGUCCAGGGUGUAAACGCUGCGGGCUUGGUGUUGGGGGUCCUACGAGGGCAUCCAGUGCCGGAGAGAAGUUGUUAAGCCCGCCGCCUGGGGAGUACGAUCGCAAGAUUGAAACUUAAAGGAAUUGGCGGGGGAGCACAGCAACGGGUGGAGCGUGCGGUUUAAUUGGAUUCAACGCCGGGA
Molecule: ribosomal RNA, 915 nt
Filed under: uncultured archaeon
Lineage: Archaea
Description: bacterial SSU rRNA
Rfam family: Archaeal small subunit ribosomal RNA
Source: RNAcentral